AACAGGCCACACCAGGUUCCUGUUAGCAAGCUCCUCUUGGCAAAGGCAGCAGUGUCUGAUUUGGUGUCUACAGGCAGGAUGAAUCCCCAGGGAUGCAGCAAUACUAUCUCACAAGCCUGCAACUGGAAACAACAGUGAUGCUGGGGUGUGACUCAGAAGGAUGAGGUCCUAGGCUUGCUCCAAAAUAUUGGGUGAAAGUUGAAGAGAUUUGUUCUCUCAUAGCUAGUUCAAGUAGUUCUUUGAACACCAGCACAGUUGGAUUAACUCCCAAGGGAAGUUCAUGAAUGGAUCUUACUAUGCACAUCCUAGGAGAGGUCAGAGAUGGCAGUCGCCACACCAGGGAACUGAGAUUCAUAGUGGAAAGACAUAUCUAUACAAUCAUAUUGUAAAUAAGCACCAUAACUUCUAAAACAGAAUUGCAAACAUUUAUUUGUUAAAUAAAUUACAUUUCUGACUUUUGGUGCCUUUAGAAAUUGCAGCUUAGAAUUAUUGUUCCUUAUGAGAGGCCAUGUGUUAGGAUUGUACAAAAAGAUAAAUGCAAGCAUGAUUGGAAACCAUGCAUAUAUUUCUGUUGCCUGUAGUUCCUGAAGAUACAUCCUCACGCCACAUCCCUUCAAUACAAGACUGGAUCUCCAACUAAAAUCCAUUUUCCUGUGUAACAUGUUUUUCAUUCUCUAAUGUCCUCUGUAAAAAUAAAGCAAGCAAGCAAAC
Long non-coding RNA from Mastomys coucha (southern multimammate mouse), 711 nucleotides. RefSeq lists it as uncharacterized. The record is from RefSeq and is a predicted model, not a curated record. The transcript has 3 exons. NCBI's taxonomy places the organism in Eukaryota, Metazoa, Chordata, Mammalia, Rodentia, Muridae.